CACGGGGGGAGCAAGCGUUGUUCGGAAUCACUGGGCGUAAAGGGCGUGUAGGCGGUCGAGUAAGUGGAAUGUGAAAUACUCCGGCUCACCCGGAGCACUGCAUCCCAAACUGCUCGGCUUGAGUAUGGGAGAGGACAAGGGAAUUCCUGGUGUAGCGGUGAAAUGCGUAGAUAUCAGGAGGAACACCAAUGGCGAAGGCAGCUCGCUGGGACGGUACUGACGCUGAGGCGCGAAAGCUAGGGGAGCAAACGGG
This 253-nucleotide ribosomal RNA is filed under the name uncultured bacterium. Its description in RNAcentral is "partial 16S ribosomal RNA". It matches the Rfam family "Bacterial small subunit ribosomal RNA", at positions 524 to 776 of the family's 1533-position model. The record is from RNAcentral.